Non-coding RNA from Oryza sativa Japonica Group (Japanese rice), 3914 nucleotides. Lineage: Eukaryota; Viridiplantae; Streptophyta; Magnoliopsida; Poales; Poaceae. The record is from RefSeq and is a predicted model, not a curated record.
CCCACCCCGCUCGCGGCGCAGAUCGCGCAACUCCCCUUCAAAAAAAAAAAAAAACUGCAAAAUCUCAAUGAAUCUUUCGCCGUCUCCGAGGCUUGCACAACUCUUCUUCCUCAUCUUCCGCGGCGGCGGCGGCGGCGCCGGCGACGGCCAUGGCGGCGGUGGCGGCGGCGGAGCAGAGCGCGGAGCAGUUCAGGGGCCAGGCGAAGCUCCUGUUCCUCCCCGUCGCCGACGCUGUCCCCCGCCUUUCCUCCUUCCGUCCACCUGCCACCGACGCCGCCACCCCUGGCAGUGACUCCUCCUACCCGACGCCGACGUCGAUUCCCCCGCCGCCAACGUCACUGCCAUCGACACCUACUCCUGUGGCAGUGUGGAGGACUGUUGCUUCCGUUGAUAAUGCAUCCCCGCCAUCGCGCCUCAGAUCGGGGACACCGACGGCCCUCAUGCCGACCGCGCCGCUGCGCCUCCAGAUCGACGCUGCCGACGCCCAUCACACGCACCACCAGGUAAUCGUCGUGCCGCGCCGCAUCCCGCCCCUCCGCCGUCGUCGCAUCCCGCGACCCCGGCGGCUACUCCGCUGCAACCCCUGUGCGGCAGGCGACCCCGAUGGCUCCUCUCGUCACCACCACCGCUGUCUUCUCCCAUUGUAUAGGUAUCCAAACUGAGAUUGCUUGAUCCAGUGAUUGCUAGAGUGUUGAUUGAUGAAUGGCAUUUUGUUUGGAUGUGUGUAUUGCUGUAAUUGUGUGCUGAUGAUUUCAUAGGGUAGAUUAUGAAUAAUGUCGAUUUAUGUUGGUAUAACACAAAUUUUUGACUUCUGACCUUGGGUAGGAACAGUACCCUGUGGAUGCCAUUCAUCAUAUUUACAACUGUCUUUGAAUAUGCCACGUCUUUUCUUGCAUACAAAAUCUUAUAGAGAGUUUUGUAGUGCUCAAUUUUUCACUUCUUUUAUGUUUGUGAGAAUAAAUAGUUUAGAGGAUUAUGGGUCGGAAUUAUAUUAUUUUUUAUUUGUUUCUCUGUUUGCCACUGUACCACCUAUGCAUGAUUAAGUACUUAUCUAAUCUGUUAAUGUACAGUCAAAAUGAUGUGUAGCGUUUAUGUAAUAAUCGAGUCCAUAUACAGGAGAUCAAUAUAUAUUUCUCGGUUUUGGCGAUGUAUAGAUAGAUCCUAUAUUUCUUGGCAGCAAUCAUCUGUUUGUCUUGCCUUCUUCCUCACACUCCACAUGUAAAUGUCUUGAUUUUAGUGUGCUAGGUGCUCAAUGAAAUUCCCAUGUGAACAAAUUUCUGUUUUUGUCUAUCAGGCUAUGUGUUCAUCAAAGAGAACAAAGGGAAGUUAGAAAUUAGAAAUAGUACAGUUCCUAUAUCUAGCAGGUGUGAUCUUCAUUUAUUAUUUCAUUCUUUGAUCUCUAUUGUAAAGGGUUGCAUCGCCACAUUUGCAUAAAGCGAAAUGUGCACUGCAGUAUGUAGUUAAGUGCUUUUGAGCAAUUUAUUAUUAUUUAGGCUUUACUUUGAAUGCCAACAAACCUACAGCUGUAUCAUGGCUGAUAUCACCAACAAAUUACUGCUGCCAAACUACAGGAGAACAAUAGAUGAUAAGCUGUUCCAAAGAAAGAGGAAUGCCCAUACGCUCCGGCCAUCUCUACUAUAUCUGGGAUCCCCAUCGCGCUCCUCCAUUCGUCUCCACAGCUUCUCGCCCCUCCCAACCCAAUCUCUAAUCAUCUGAAUGCGCGAGGGUGGAAGCCAAGUUGGAGAAACGGGAAAGGGAGGACGAUGACAGGGAAGUUGUCGUUCCAUGUCGACGAGUGACAAGCUGACCGAUGCAUUCCGCCAGCUCGGCAAGGCUUUCAAUCCCUAGGUUCCUGGAGGUAUUAUGAGAGGUUUCUUCCUAAUGGUGUUGUCUUCGAGAAGACAUUUUUCCUAUGCUGGAUUUGAGCAACAACCAAAGAAGUUCGUAAGUCCAAAGAUUCGUUUGCUAAACAUUGAACAAGAACUGAAAUAUGAAAAAGAAAAUGCAGAAAUCAGGUUGUCUGAUCCUCUACAAUGCCAAUAAAUCUUUGAUGCUGAAUGGAAUAUGAUUUAUGACAAAGUUGGAUAAAUGUGUGAAAAAGUGGGGCAAAAACAGUCCUUUCUCGGUUGGCAAUUGGUGGUCUUGCAACAUAGGUUAUAGAUUGAACUGAGUCGUAAGUAUGGUGUUGAUAGCUAUUUUGGCAACAAAUAAGCUCAACUAUAGUGAUCCUUUCUGUUGAAAAGGAACUUGUUUUUUUUGCGAAUUUUUUGAGGUAAGGCAAGUGGGCAAUGAAUGGUUCAAAUAUUCAGUGGUUGUCCUGGUCAAACAGCAAGCAUAGUCCUUUGUGACAGUGGUUUGUUGUUACAGAGAUUUGCACUUGUCCUUUUGAAUGCUGGAGCUGCAGUCUGCACCUUCUUAAGGUGAUAGCUCUAUGCCCUGGUUUCUUGAGAUGUAAGAAAAUUUGUUCUAUAGCCGUCAGUUAUUAUUGCACUGAAUUGCAUUUAUUGGAGACCCACCUGAUUAAAGACUGUGAUGAGCAACACACAUCUUUUUUUCGGUCUUGUAUGAUUGGUCAGAUGCUAAUUGAAGCUUUGUUUUUUUUUCAUGAGACAUAAUUGAAGAUUUGUUGUGCUGCUGCAUGUCUACAAAACAUAGAAUAUAAAUUUAUAAAUGGGACGAGCAAAAUGCCUAUGCUUUGCUAUGGGUAGAAGAAAAUAUUCUAAUUUGUCAUAGCAAAAUUUUUUAAUCAAAUAUGUUAGUAUCACUUGAUUAUAUUAGUUCAUGCUUUUACUCCAAAUAGUAGUACAUUAUCUUAGUAUUUUACAUUUUAAUAUUAAUUGUAUAAGUUUCUAAAAAACACCAAACUCGGUUGGUAUAGCCGUAUAGGUGACUCAAAGCAACUUAAAUUGAGAAUUCAAUCUUUAUCCAUGUAUAAAAGAAACAAUGUGUCCUAUAAAGUAUAACACACUUGGUUUGUAUUUCUAUCCUGUCGUAAAAAGAGACAUAAGUUCUAGCUACUACUCCCUCCGUCCCAAAAUGUAGCUAUUUCUAGCACAGUGUCUCGUCCCAAAAUGAAACUAUUUCUUCACCUACCUCCUCCUCUCAACCAAUCACAACCAUUCUUCUUCACCUACUUUCUCUUUUCAACCAAUCACACACUUCCUCCAAUCAUUCUCACAUACUUUCUUAAUACCCGUGCCAACCUCAAAAAUGGCUUCAUUUUGGGACAGAGGAAGUAUUUUUGUUUAAUCAUGAAAUAGAACCUUUCUGAGGGCCAAGCAAGCCAAAUGGGACUGCACCAGUGGUAAGAUGAAAGUUUUUCCUUAUUCACAUCAACUAUCUGAUUUGCAUUUAUUUUUGUUCAUAGAGAUUAAAUUUGUUCCAAGAGAGUGCAAAAUCUGUCAUGUAGCAUUUAUCGUUCGACAACAUAUAAGUUGGAUCCGAAUAGAUGAUUUAGAUCUUUUCUUUCACUACUCUGCUUUGGAGCAAAUAAAUAUUUUUCGUCAUCUUGUUUUGUUUGUGCUAUGACGAAGUGUAUUAUCUUCUUGAUUUUCUUACUUGCAGUGUCCUAUUGUUGUUAAGGGCGACAACACUCUUGCAUGGAUGAUGGUUCAAUGGAAAAAUUAGGAAUUGCAGCACCGACAAAAGUUCACCUAUUGCACUGGUGCAAUUUUGUAAUUAAGAUAUUGUCCCAUGAUGAAAUGCAUGUUUGUACUGUGUGACGAUUUUAAAUUAAAUGUAUUACCAUGUUAAUAGUAAUGUAGUAUUAAGGGUUGAUUAAUUAUUUUUGUUUGAAAAGUUUAGCCUAGGUUUGGUAAAUUGAAAUUUACCAUGUUACUAUGACAUGUAUGAGAAUUUACAGAUUAUUUUUUGGGCCAAAUAUAUUACAAUAUAUAUCAUUGUUUGGUUUUUCA